GGGCGGAUGGUUUAGUGGUAUAAUACUCCCUUAGCAUGUUUCCCACAGAGGAUCAUACCUGGGAGUGGUCCGGGGUUCGAUUCCCCGUUCGUCCA
This 95-nucleotide transfer RNA is filed under the name Metarhizium rileyi. Its description in RNAcentral is "tRNA-Ala". It matches the Rfam family "tRNA". From Rfam's summary of the family: Transfer RNA (tRNA) molecules are approximately 80 nucleotides in length. Their secondary structure includes four short double-helical elements and three loops (D, anti-codon, and T loops). The record is from RNAcentral. Lineage: Eukaryota; Fungi; Ascomycota; Sordariomycetes; Hypocreales; Clavicipitaceae.